AUCUAAAUAGUUUAUUAGUUUAAAAUGUUGGCUUGUGGUGCCAGAGAAGUGAAUUUUACUUUGGAUAA
Molecule: transfer RNA, 68 nt
Filed under: Hapsodrilus ignifer
Lineage: Eukaryota; Metazoa; Arthropoda; Insecta; Coleoptera; Elateridae
Description: tRNA-His
Rfam family: tRNA
About the family: Transfer RNA (tRNA) molecules are approximately 80 nucleotides in length.
Source: RNAcentral